This 253-nucleotide ribosomal RNA is filed under the name uncultured bacterium. RNAcentral's name for it is "partial 16S ribosomal RNA". It matches the Rfam family "Bacterial small subunit ribosomal RNA", at positions 524 to 776 of the family's 1533-position model. The record is from RNAcentral.
UACAGAGGGGGCAAGCGUUGUUCGGAAUUACUGGGCGUAAAGGGCGCGUAGGCGGCCGCCUAAGUCAGACGUGAAAUCCCUCGGCUCAACCGGGGAACUGCGUCUGAUACUGGGUGGCUUGAAUUCGGGAGAGGGAUGCGGAAUUCCAGGUGUAGCGGUGAAAUGCGUAGAUAUCUGGAGGAACACCGGUGGCGAAGGCGGCAUCCUGGACCGAUAUUGACGCUGAGGCGCGAAAGCCAGGGGAGCAAACGGG